RNAcentral lists this long non-coding RNA (1196 nucleotides) under Ananas comosus (pineapple). RNAcentral's name for it is "long non-coding RNA (ACOM_LNC012908)". The record is from RNAcentral. Lineage: Eukaryota; Viridiplantae; Streptophyta; Magnoliopsida; Poales; Bromeliaceae.
ACUUUGACUGUUUAUUUUAAUUUAUUUUUAUUUUUAUUAUUAAAUUAAAUAUUUAUAUUUAAAUAAUUUUAUAAAAUAAAGAGAAAACUUUAAAAAUUCUUCUUGUGGUUUCACUCUUUCUCACUUCAGUAUCCAGUAGUUUAAAGUGUAUCAAAUUAGUACCCUGUGGUUUUGCACUUUUUCACUUUAGUACAUUAUGGUUUAAAGUGUAUCAAGUUAGUACCCUAUGGUUUCGCACUUUCUCACUUUAGCGCCCUAUGGUUUCGCACUUUCUCACUUUAGUUCCAUGUGGUUUAAAAAUCACAGGGUACUAACUUGAUACAAAAAUAAAACCACCAAAUACUAAUUUGAUACAAAAAAAAAUCAGAUAGUACUAACUUGUUACACUUUAAAUCAAAGGGUACUAACUUGAUACACUUUAAAACACAGGAUACUAAAAUAAAAAAGUACGAAACUAUAGGAGGGUUUUUGAAGUUUUUCCUAAAAUGAAUAAACAAAUAUUCUAAGUUAGUGUUUGAUUGAGAGAUAAAAGAGGAGGACCUAAACAAACAAACAAAAAAAAAACAAAAGGGGGGGGGUGGGACAAUAAUCCUAUUCCUUACGUAGGAAUAGGGGUGGGAACAGUUGUUUCCACUCUAUUUAAUUUUUAAAAUUUAAAUUUAUAACUUGAAUUUAAAUUUUUAAUUCUAAAAAUUUAUAAUUUAUAAUUUUAAAUUUUUUAAAUUUAUAAUUUGAUAUUUUAUAUUUUUAAAUUUAGAUUUAGUCUUAAAUUUAAAAUUUAGAACUUUGGAUUUUUAAAUUUGAGAUUUAAAAAUUAUAAUUUUAAUUUUGAAUUUUUAAAGUUUAAAAGUUAUAUAUUUAAAUUUAAAAAUUUAGAUAUAAAAUUUUAAAUUUUAAAUUCAAAUAUAACAUAAGAAGCAAUAUCAUUAUUUUCUGUUUAUAACUAUCCAUUAUUCUUUUUAUUCCAUUUUAUCUAUUCAAAUGUUAUUUUUCUUAUUUCUGGAAACAUCUUAAUUUCCAUCCAAACAUAAAAUUGGUCUAUUUCUUGUUUAUAUCUGAACUUAUAUCUAUUCCUGAAAUAGACAGUUCUUGCUUAUAUCUGAACCAAAUAGAGACGUGCAUGGGAUUAUGAUUUGUGCAUAAAAAGUUUGUGGGGUUGAGAAAUUUUGCAAUUUAAGUAUUUUUUUUGAGAAAUA